RNAcentral lists this unclassified non-coding RNA (686 nucleotides) under uncultured Prochlorococcus sp. RNAcentral describes it as "partial may contain 16S ribosomal RNA, 16S-23S ribosomal RNA intergenic spacer, and 23S ribosomal RNA". The stretch from base 1 to 97 matches the Rfam family "Bacterial small subunit ribosomal RNA", at positions 1437 to 1533 of the family's 1533-position model. The record is from RNAcentral. Lineage: Bacteria; Bacillati; Cyanobacteriota; Cyanophyceae; Synechococcales; Prochlorococcaceae.
ACCCUUGUGGAGGAGGACGCCGAAGGUGGGGCUAAUGACUGGGGUGAAGUCGUAACAAGGUAGCCGUACCGGAAGGUGCGGCUGGAUCACCUCCUAACAGGGAGACAACAAAAUGUUUAAUAUUAUUAUUUUGUCACCUUAGGUCGAUCGGUACCUCACGUUCUUAAUUUAUUAAGAAUUUCAUUUCCUAAGUUUUUCUAGGUCACACCCAUUAUUUUUCCUGGGCCAUUAGCUCAGGUGGUUAGAGCGCACCCCUGAUAAGGGUGAGGUCCCUGGUUCAAGUCCAGGAUGGCCCAUAUCUCUAUGUUGGGGGUAUAGCUCAGUUGGUAGAGCGCCUGCUUUGCAAGCAGGAUGUCAGCGGUUCGAGUCCGCUUACCUCCACUGAUUACCACCUCUUCCAUAAUUUGUAGAAAGGAAAUUUUUUGAGUUGUGAUCAAAUUCUGAACGAAUCUAGCUUCCUAAUGAAAUCAUUAAGAUGCUGGACUCAUUGAAUUAAUUUCAUUGUUUUCAGAGAACCUUGACAACUGCAUAGAUUAUUUUAAAGACAAUAAGCAUCUUUAAUGAUGCAGAUUUAUUAUUUGUGCGAAUGCAUUAAUAACAAUUCUAUUAAGCUGAUGCUUCAAUUUUGAAGUUAUUGGUCAAGCUACAAAGGGCUCACGGAGGAUACCUAGGCACACAGAGGCGAU